ACCAAUUUUAGCUCUCACUAAUCCAAUGUAUACUCUCUCUCCCUCCAUGUAUGUAUGUAUGUGUGUGUGUGUGUAUAUAUAUAUAUAUACACACACACACAUACAUACAUGGAGGGAGAGAGAGUAUACAUUGGAUUAGUGAGAGCUAAAAUUGG
RNAcentral lists this microRNA precursor (155 nucleotides) under Pelobates cultripes (western spadefoot toad). Lineage: Eukaryota; Metazoa; Chordata; Amphibia; Anura; Pelobatidae. The record is from RNAcentral.